AGUGAACGCUGGCGGUAGGCCUAACACAUGCAAGUCGAACGGCAGCACAGUAAGAGCUUGCUCUUACGGGUGGCGAGUGGCGGACGGGUGAGGAAUACAUCGGAAUCUACUUUUUCGUGGGGGAUAACGUAGGGAAACUUACGCUAAUACCGCAUACGACCUACGGGUGAAAGCAGGGGAUCUUCGGACCUUGCGCGAUUGAAUGAGCCGAUGUCGGAUUAGCUAGUUGGCGGGGUAAAGGCCCACCAAGGCGACGACCCGUAGCUGGUCGGAGAGGAUGAUGAGCCGCAGUGGAAGUGAGACACGGUGCAGACGCCUACGGGAGGCAGCAGUGGGGAAUGGUGGAGAAUGGGGGGAAGCGUGAUGCAGCGAUACGGCGUGGGUGAAGAAGGCCUUCGGGUUGUAAAGCCCUUUUGUUGGGAAAGAAGGGCGGCGGGUUAAUACGCCGCUGUUGUGACGGUACCCAAAGAAUAAGCACCGGCUAGCUUCGUG
This 492-nucleotide ribosomal RNA is filed under the name uncultured bacterium. Its description in RNAcentral is "partial 16S ribosomal RNA". It matches the Rfam family "Bacterial small subunit ribosomal RNA", at positions 30 to 507 of the family's 1533-position model. The record is from RNAcentral.